RNAcentral lists this ribosomal RNA (274 nucleotides) under uncultured bacterium. RNAcentral describes it as "partial 16S ribosomal RNA". It matches the Rfam family "Bacterial small subunit ribosomal RNA", at positions 523 to 796 of the family's 1533-position model. The record is from RNAcentral.
AUACGGAGGGUGCAAGCGUUAAUCGGAAUUACUGGGCGUAAAGCGCGCGUAGGCGGUUUGGUAAGUCGGAUGUGAAAGCCCCGGGCUCAACCUGGGAAUUGCAUUCGAUACUGCCAGACUAGAGAAUGGUAGAGGGAAGUGGAAUUCCGGGUGUGGCGGUGAAAUGCGUAGAUAUCCGGAGGAACACCAGUGGCGAAGGCGACUUCCUGGACCAAUUCUGACGCUGAGGUGCGAAAGCGUGGGGAGCAAACAGGAUUAGAAACCCCAGUAGUCC